GAACGCAUCUUGCGCUCCUUGGUAUUCCGAGGAGCAUGCCUGUUUGAGUGUCAUCAAGUUCUCAACCCGCAUCCAUUUUGAAGGGAUGUGUGGAUUUGGAUUAUGGAGUUUGCAGGCUUGAUUGAGGUCUGCUCCUCUGAAACGUAUUAGUGGCAAUGUGGAAAAGCUACUGUGGGUGUGAUAACUAUCUAUGCCUAUGCAGUGCUCUGCUGUGCCGCUUUGGAGGGAGAAAUUUAUUUCUGACAAACUUGACCUCAAAUCAGGUAGGACUACCCGCUGAACUUA
Molecule: unclassified non-coding RNA, 285 nt
Filed under: Inocybe tiliae
Lineage: Eukaryota; Fungi; Basidiomycota; Agaricomycetes; Agaricales; Inocybaceae
Description: sequence contains 5.8S rRNA gene
Rfam family: 5.8S ribosomal RNA (bases 1-53)
Source: RNAcentral